CUCUCCUAUUCUUUUGUCAGGUAAUAUUCAGCAAACGGCCGCGCAGCAUCAAACAACCUUAUAUGGCCACUGCAUUAUCGGCUGGGUUUGAUGAAAUCAAGCCUCCUGAUAUCACAAAAUCGGGUGUUGAAGAACGAUCGUUGACUGCUCAUUGGAUUUCGAAGACAAUCUCGACCCAGUUGUUGGCAUCUUUUCAGUUUCUCCAGUAGUGUAAAACUUGAUGUCUAGCUAAUAUCGGUGACAAAUCAGUUCAAACACUGUUAAGGAAAAUGUGUUACCAAAAAUAUUCCUUCUCCUGUGGGUGGGUGAACUGACGGCUUCACAAAGCAAAAAAUCAAAGCAGUUGAUUUCCAAAAGUCGUGAAAAUGUGGGUGAAUUGAACCCGAGGCACCUCAAUCAAGUGUUCCAUUGGCAUCUAAGACAGCUGACAUUCAGGGUUUUCUUCAUCUUGCAAUCGAUCAUGGUUUUCUGCCAUUAUGUAAAGUUUGUUGCCACCUCAUCAACUGAUACAAACUCACUCCAGAUCAAAAAGAGCCCAAAGGCACUUGGUGACCUGUUUGAGAGUAUUACGGGGGCCAUAUUACUCCAUACAAAACUUGAUGUUGAUGAAGUUUGGAGAAUACUUGAGCUGUUAUUACCUCUAAUUGUUACAGUAAAAAAACUCGAGCUUCCACCAUACCGGGAAUUAAGAUAGUUUUGUACCUCCAAGGGGUAUUUUGUAAAAGACUAAGUAUAGAAGCAAUGGUGAUGCUGUAAUAGCAGAGCUAAGGUUGCAGCUUGAAGAUGCUUUACUGAUUGCAGAGGGCUCGGGUAACACAAGGAAAGUUGCAAGGGGCCAAGCCGCUCUUAAAAUGUUAAGCCAGCUUGAGAAACAAGGAAUUUCAAGAAAGAAUCAGGGUCAUGAUGAUAAGAACAUCAAAGUAGUUGCAAACACCACUAUUGUCACUGAAUGUUUGGAGGAAGAGUCAACUUCCAAAACUCAAAUCCCAGAGUUGCUGGAAUGUGUUGAUCAUCAAUUCGUUAAACUUAAACUUGGGUUGUUUCUCAAGAGAUUUACGGCGGAUUGUCUUUAAUGAAUGAAGAUCUUCGGUAGAUAAUGAAAACCGAGCGAUCGGAUACAAGAGUAGAUACUUGGUGCGGAGACCACAAACUCUCCUUCAAUAGGAAGUUGCAACGUAAAUGUAAUGCGCUCAACAUUCAAAGUGCCAGAGCAGAAAUCGCAUGUCGGAGAUGGACUUGUUUUAAGCCCAAAGUCAAUGUUCAAAUAUGAGUUUUCAAGAUAACAAGAUCAAAACAAAGAUAAAUCAAGUUCACUCCUUGUUUGCUUGUCACUCAAGAAUUCAAUCUUUAGCUUUUCGGGUUCUAUGCGACAUUGCAUAUAUGACGAUCUCUUUGAGAAAAGCGGAAGUCCAGUCGAACUUGAUCAGAACUCAAUGGUGGAAAUUUAGAGAGCGGUGCACAAAAUUGGGAAAUUUAGAGCCACUUGCCUAAUCGGAAUAUGGACUGAUCUCAAAGUUCAAAGGGUGUUGGGAUUUCCAUGAAUUUCUCCAGUUUCAUGAUUGAAGACUACUUUGAACAAUAGAUCUAGUAUCUCUGAAUGAACAAAUGUAGCUAGUGUGGUGGUGUUGGGCCUUCCUAAUCUGGUCUCAUGAUCCGCAAAUGAAUCACAACAGUUACAAUGCCGUUUUUUCUAAGCUUUAGUUGAUUAACAAGCACACAAAUGAAUCUUGAAGAUUCUUAAAAAAAGUUAUUUAUAUUUAUUUUUCUUUUGAAAGAUUUCUGAAUCUUUGUA
This is a long non-coding RNA of Helianthus annuus (common sunflower), 1792 nucleotides long. RefSeq lists it as uncharacterized. The record is from RefSeq and is a predicted model, not a curated record. Lineage: Eukaryota; Viridiplantae; Streptophyta; Magnoliopsida; Asterales; Asteraceae. The transcript has 6 exons.